Molecule: small nuclear RNA, 106 nt
Organism: Cricetulus griseus (Chinese hamster)
Lineage: Eukaryota; Metazoa; Chordata; Mammalia; Rodentia; Cricetidae
Source: Ensembl
GUGCUUGCUUUGGCAGCACAUAUUCUGAAAUUGGAACAAGAGAGAAAAGAUUAGCAUGGCCCUUGAAUAGGAUGACACACAAAUUCUUGAAGGUUCCAUAUUUUUU